RNA transcript from Tachyglossus aculeatus (Australian echidna), 1031 nucleotides. It is a transcript of the gene named SYF2 pre-mRNA splicing factor, with no coding region annotated. The record is from RefSeq and is a predicted model, not a curated record. NCBI's taxonomy places the organism in Eukaryota, Metazoa, Chordata, Mammalia, Monotremata, Tachyglossidae. The transcript is spliced from 8 exons.
CGGAAGUGGGGGUGAGGCGCCGCGAUGGCGACGGAGGCCAAGCGGCCUGAGGUCUCCUCGGACAGCUCCGAGGAGGAGAGGCCUCUCACCGAGGCCGAGGAACUGGCCGCCCAGAAGCGAGAAACCAGGCUGAGGAAGUUCAGAGAGCUGCAUAUGAAGAGGAAUGAAGCCCGCAAACUCAAUCACCAGGAAGUCGUGGAGGAAGAUAAAAGACUGAAGUUACCGGCAAACUGGGAGGCUAAGAAGGCCCGACUGGAAUGGGAAUUGCAAGUAGAAGAAAAGAAGAAGGAGUGUGCAGCUAAAGGAGAAGAUUACGAGCGGGUGAAGUUGUUGGAAAUCAGUGCAGAAGAUGCAGAAAGAUGGGAGAGGAAAAAGAAGCGAAAGAACCCAGACCUUGGCUUUUCCGAUUAUGCAUCUGCCCAGUUACGCCAAUACCAUAGGCUGACCAAGCAGAUCAAACCAGACAUGGAAGCCUAUGAAAAACUGAGGGAAGAACACGGCGAAGAUUUCUAUCCAACAUCCAACAGUCUCCUUCAUGGAACCCACGUGCCGUCUAAGGAGGGAAUUGAUAGAAUGGUUUCAGACCUGGAAAAACAAAUCGAAAAGCGUGAGAAGUAUAGCCGGAGGCGUCCGUACAAUGACGAUUCCGAUAUUGAUUACAUUAACGAAAGAAAUGCCAAAUUCAAUAAGAAAGCAGAAAGGUUCUACGGAAAAUACACAGCUGAAAUCAAACAGAAUUUGGAAAGAGGAACGGCUGUUUAGAGUCUGCCACGGCAACGGUACGGAGAGUCUGGCCGGAGCUGAACGGAGAAGACGGGAUCCCAUUCCGCUGGUCAGAAACUGAACAGGGAAAGCAAAAUUACAUCCUGCUGGUCAGAGGACUUUAUUUGUUCCCCGGCAAACGUACAUUUGUUUUGGAAGAAAUAAAGCUUAAUGUCAAUAAAACUUAGCAGUGACAGGGGAAUAUGUACAUAGUCCUAGAUUUUAAUGUGCGCUUAAAAUAACUAUCCCAAUAAAAAAAUGGGUUUGAA